UACGUAGGGGGCAAGCGUUGUCCGGAUUUACUGGGCGUAAAGAGCAUGUAGGCGGCCAAAUAAGUCAGAUGUGAAAGUUUUCGGCUCAACCGGAAAAGUGCAUUUGAAACUGUAUGGCUUGAGUAUUGGAGAGGUAAGCGGAAUUCCUAGUGUAGCGGUGAAAUGCGUAGAGAUUAGGAAGAACACCGGUGGCGAAGGCGGCUUACUGGACAAUAACUGACGCUAAGAUGCGAAAGCGUGGGGAGCGAAC
This 250-nucleotide ribosomal RNA is filed under the name uncultured bacterium. Its description in RNAcentral is "partial 16S ribosomal RNA". It matches the Rfam family "Bacterial small subunit ribosomal RNA", at positions 524 to 773 of the family's 1533-position model. The record is from RNAcentral.